CAAUUUAAGCUUCUUAGCAUAAGAAUCUCUUAGGUCCCAACCCACCUCUAGGGUAUCUCCUGGCACUUGUCACGUUUACACACGCCUGGUAUGAGUUUCAUCAUCCAGGGAUGUUCUUCCACUCUUGUUCAUCUUUCAGAGGCAUCCUUUAAAGCAGAGCUUUGACCUCAACCAGCUGCCAGCUUCUAGACAACAUAGCGAUCACUCCCCCUUCCACACCUCUGCUUCGUAUCACACAACUGUAAAUUGUUGGCUCCCCAUCUAAAUCUGAAACCUCUAAGACAAGGAACUAUGAAUUACUCAUUUUUAAGUUCCUAGAACUUUAUAGAGAGCUGGCACUUAGCAAUUAAUAAAAUAUUGAAUGUAAUAAAUUAUGCAGAUAUUCAAGUUGAAGGUUGAGUAGGUAAGGUACUGUGGAAAAUUUCUGCCCUCAAGUAUCUCAAAAACUCGGACAGGGCAUCAUUCAAAAAUCAUUGUAGUGGCAAGUUUAUGACAUUAAUCUUUUAACCAAAAAUACAUCAGGAUACUGGGAAGAUCACGGUACACAACUUAAUUUUGUUCACUCUGCCUGAUCGGGGAUUUCAUUCUCCAUUUGUGUCAGAUUUUUCUCAGACAAUUUCGUGUCAUUAGCCUGAUUUUUUAGAUUAUGUUCAAACAGCAGUAACCACGACGGACAUGACUUAAAGUAUGAAUCAUAAUUUUCCAUUUUCAAAAGUUAGCCCCUUUAAAAAGUCUCGGACUUUGUUUUGAAGACCAUAGCUGUUUGGUGUGUAAGAUAUGGUCACGUACAGUACUUGGCGGCUUCUGGCAUUAUUAAGUUAAUCUGUCCAGUGCUAUUUACAGACCUUAAAGCUGCCCCGGUCAGCUGCUCUGCUGGUACUCACAUGUUAUUAAUGAUGAUGAGAGUUAAUUUACAAGUGAGGAUCUUCAAAGCUAGCGAGGAGCUUUGUGAGCUGUUUCUAAUGCGACACCCACAAGAAAAUACAGCAUCCUGCAUUUUCCGACAGAUUUAAACCAAUAGAUUGAGACAAAGCAGUCAUUUUUUCACAUCGACCCCCUGUCUUUCAUUAUUUUGACAAAGAACUUAAAAUGUCAAAAAGUAGAACUGGGUUGUCUUAGAUCUAUU
Aethalodelphis obliquidens (Pacific white-sided dolphin) is the source of this 1126-nucleotide long non-coding RNA. RefSeq lists it as uncharacterized. NCBI's taxonomy places the organism in Eukaryota, Metazoa, Chordata, Mammalia, Artiodactyla, Delphinidae. The record is from RefSeq and is a predicted model, not a curated record. The transcript has 2 exons.